CCUACGGGUGGCAGCAGUGGGGGAUAUUGCACAAUGGGGGGAACCCUGAUGCAGCGACGCCGCGUGCGUGAAGAAGCGCCUCGGCGCGUAAAGCCCUGUCAGCAGGGAAGAAACUGACGGUACCUGAAGAAGUAGCCCCGGCUAACUACGUGCCAGCAGCCGCGGUUAUACGGAGGGGGCAAGCGUUAUCCGGAUUUACUGGGUGUAAAGGGGGCGCAGACGGCGAUGCAAGCGAGGAGUGAAAGCCCGGGGCACAACCCCGGGACUGCACGUGGAACUGGGUGGCUGGAGGGCAGGCGGGGCAGGCGGAAUUCCUGGUGUAGCGGUGAAAUGCGUAGAUAUCAGGAGGAACCCCGGUGGCGAAGGCGGCCUGCUGCACUGCAACUGACGUUGAGGCCCGAAAGCGUGGGGAGCAAACAGGAUUAGAUACCCUAGUAGUC
Molecule: ribosomal RNA, 440 nt
Filed under: uncultured bacterium
Lineage: Bacteria
Description: partial 16S ribosomal RNA
Rfam family: Bacterial small subunit ribosomal RNA
Source: RNAcentral